GCUGGGCGCGGUGGCAAAUGCCUGUAAUCCCAGGAGCUCAGGAGGCUGAGGCAGGAGAAUCUCGAGUUCAAAGCCAGCCUCAGCAAUAUCAAGGCACCAAGCAACUCAGUGAGACCCUGUCUCUA
Molecule: small RNA, 125 nt
Filed under: Marmota monax (woodchuck)
Lineage: Eukaryota; Metazoa; Chordata; Mammalia; Rodentia; Sciuridae
Source: RNAcentral